AUUUCAGGGGAGGAAUCUAUUAGAUAAUAAUAUAGUAAUAUUCAUAAUUUUUGGAUUUUAAACAUCAGCGUUACUGAGAUACAUUGCACCCCACAUUUGAUUUAUUAUAUAAGCUUGAUACCUGGUGAGAAGCUUGGCUGUAGCAAUCAGCAUUUAGCCAGCAGAACUGCACUGUAAGAGAUGAUCCUUUUCACUGCAGCUGGUUAAUUUUGGUACUGAUGAUAACAUUUUGCGUAAUGCAUAUGGUUUUAACCCUUAGUGGACAUAGCAUUGGUCCCUAUUAGGCAUGAUUAUAGCCUAUUUUUAUGUGGCCCAUAGCAGAGGUUGCUUUUCUUACCAGCAACGUAAUAUUACCCCCCAAAAUGUUUGAGUGAGCAGAUUCCAAGCAUAGGCUUAAUAUUCAUAGUGAUGUCAGAGUUUUCAGAUGUCCAAUAAAAAAUAAAUAAAUAAAUGAAGGCACUGUAGUACUCAUUUGGAAUAGAACAAGCUGUAAAAAAAAAAUUCAUUAUUUUGCUAUCAUUUAAUACACAUAGUGCAGCAUGGAUUUGCCUAACUUAUAAGUAAGCCAAAUAGUGCCAAAGAAUUGAUCAGUAAUAAAGAUUGACUUUUUAAAUUAAAUCUCAAUUGCUUUGAUAACAAGCAAUUAAAACAAUCAUUUUCUAAGAUCAUUCUAAUUCUCUGAAUAAUUCUAAGAUUUAGUUCUUGAAAUCUGAUAGUUUAAUUUCAAAAAACAAAGAAUAGAAGUCCCUUACAUAAUAGGUAUGUAUCUGCAUUUGUAUAUCUGUCAAUAUUUUGAAUUUUUGAAGUGCAACCUAUCCACUCAGUAUAUUCCAAAAAACCUACAGAGAAUCACAGAAUCACAGGGGUUGGAAUGGACCUCAGGAGAUCAAGUCCAACCCGCUGCUAAAGCAGGUUCCCUACUGCAGGUUGCACAGGUAGGCAUCUAGACAGGGCUUGAAUAUCUCCUGCACGUUCGCUAAGCUCAUGGCAACAAAAUGCCAUAAAUAUAAGGUCUAACAUCAUGUAAUAUAACUUAUGUACUAGCACUAGGUCAGAUUUCCACAGGCAAUUGAAAGUACUUACAGUUUACAGGAAAAGAAACACAGAACUUGGCGCUAUUGAAAGUGUGUUGACUCAGCACCACUUCUGGGGGGAUGGGGUUAAUCUUUGGCUGUGAGCUCUGUGCCAUUCAUUGAAGACAACCACCAGCUCACAUUAUAAACCACGUAAGAUCUUAGAGACAACGUAUGGAAAGUAACAGCAUGAAACCUCAAAGUUUUCACACUUGACACUUAAGUGAUAGCUUUUCUCCUUUUUACUCCCUGUCUGCAGAACACAGAGAAGUAAUCUGAUAGUUUAGAAAUCUGUAAAAAAUAGAGGAGGUAAAUCAAGCUAGGGAAGCAGCAUGGUAAAGGCAUGAAGCAAGGCUGAGGAGAUUCACAGAUUAGGGCCGAGGCUAUUGUUUGUUGACACAAUAGAAGGAACAAGUUCGGAAGGUGUGUGGACGCCUGCCACAUGCGGCCUCUUCCACUCAGCAGGACAGGGCUUCAGCGUCAGCCUGGUGACAGGAGGCUGAGGAGAGGGGCCUCCGUCUCCGGCUCUCAUCCUUCUCUAGGACAGCAGUGCUACUCCAUACCAGGGGCUGGUCUGGAGAUGUGGUUUUCUGCAGUCACCUCUUCCAAGUCCAUGCUCUUCUGAGGGCUCACAAUGCUGGAUUUUUUGGUCUCGUUACAUCUCAAGACAGAAUUAUUAAAUUAGAUUAAGCAGUUUGCAUUGUAUUGUAUUCAGUACUAUUUUCUAGUUGUGGGAAUGCUCUCUCAUACUUCCCUUGAAAGCAUUGUUACACCUUUGAUUUGUGUCAGGAGAAAGCAGAAAGUCCCAGCCCUGGUGGCCCAGGCUGAUGGCAAGCCCCAGGCUACUGCACACCUCACGUGCUCAUUGCUGGCAGCCACAGGGAUCACUGGCCUGAUCCUCCUGGUACCACGAUAUCUUUCCCUACCUCCUCAUAGCUCUCCUCUCAACCUGUGCCAGCUUGCCGUUGUUCCUCUUGAAUGGAGGUGACUACAAUUAAUAGUAGAAUAUGAGGAAUACCCUACUUGACAUUUACUGGGCUGUUUUGUUUUGCUUUGUUUUGUUUCAUAGAAUCACAGAAUAUCCUAAGUUGGAAGGGGUCCACAAGGAUCAAAUCCAACUUCCAGCCCCAUACAGACCACCCAAAAUUCAAACCCUAUGUCUGAGAACAUUGUCCAAAUGCUUCUUGUACUCAGGCUGCUUGGGGCCACGGCCACUGCCCUGAGCAGCCUCUUCCAUGCCCACCACCCUCUGGUGCAGAACUUUUUCCAUAUGUCCAGGCUUUGUUCUCAUGGUGUGGCACUCUGAUAGCUCGUGGUCAUUUUAAGGUCAAAUUUAUCCUGAAAUCAAUCUUUCUAAUGAUGACUGUGUGGCAGUAUGUUCAUGCAGAGGAGCUGCAUCUGAGAUGCAGUGACAACUCAUGUUUAGAUAUCUGCUAUCUUAUCAUUGGCUUUAGCGGCCUGAAUAAUUUUAAAAGGAAUGACAUCAUAGAAAACAUUUAUGUGAUGUACUGUGCUUUACAGAUGUAAUCCUUGAAUCUUUCUGAACAUACAGAUGUCCACUGCCAAACACUGUAAGUGGUGGUGUGGAACAGAAACAUUUCAGUGGCACAGGGAAGUUCUCACCCAGCUCAGUGUCAUUUACAUGUUCAGAUAGAGCAUCCUGAAGUACGUUCUUCCAAUCUGUCUUCCUUGUACGCAGAGUGUUACACUGGUUUGUGUUUCUGGUAAAUGUUUUGCAGGGGUAACCUAUUAAUAGCUGAUUUCCCUACAUGAGCAGGCAGCACCCUAAGCUGUUUAAAGGUUAAGAACAGAUUUGCAAAUGGAAAUUUAUAGUGGUUAUUUUUGUUGAAAUAAAGUGUACUCAAUUAGUGUCCAUGUAAAAGAGCAGCAUUAAAGAAUACAAUAGUCAUCAUGUAUCUAAUGAUCCUUUAUUAGCAGAUUAUGAUCCUAUCUUUAUUACUGUUAGUAAUUGUGCUGACAAUGUGGCUGACAGGUUAAGCCAUUUCUUAUUACAGUAGCUUUUGUGCCAUAGCAUCGGGAUCAGAAAUGCAGUUCCUGAAGAUUUGCCUGUUAUGAAGAAUAGGCUGCAAAGAAAUGGAAGCACAUCUAGCCAUUGUGUUUAGUGACACAGGUGACAGAUUGCUGUAGCUGAUUCUGAGCAGGAAGAGCUCUCACAUAGGUAGACUUCAAGUGUUUCAGGCUUGGUACAUAUUUACAUAUUGUGUAUGAGAAUUAGGACUAGGACAGGAUUGUUCUGAGUUGUUAAACACUUCAGUGCGGUGUAUGAACAGCUGUAUUAGCUGUGAUUGCUGGAUUACACCACUUCACUUUUGCAUCUGUACUAUAGCAAGUCUCAGAUUCCACAGUAACUUACUUAGUAUUUAUAAGGGACCGGUUCCAAAAUCGUUGUGAGUUCUCCAGACUUUCCAACAUUUUCCCCUCCUCCAUCAUGCACACACCAAUAUUUCUCAUCACCUUUCAUCCCAAAUAAAUUGAUCCUGAUCUGCUCCUGUGAGAUUUCAUCCACGCUUCCGAUCUUCAGGAUAAAGUAAACAAAUAUAUGCUCCAAAGAAUCUAACCCGUGCUACACAAACAGCCCAGUGCAUGUUGGAAGAAAGCUUUAGCUUUUUAGUAAAAAUAGAUCAGUAAAACUAUAUGGGUUUAUAUGUCAUUAAGGCAUUCUGUAAGGGUUCCAUCAGGAUACCUUUGUAAUUUCAGGACUAGCAGGGAAUAGGACAAGUGAAUAAAGGAACAGCAGAAUAAGAAAAUAGAUAAAGUAGGACUCUCACAGGAAAUGGUCACAUAUCUAUUAUUUCAGCUGUCCUAAGAAAGUAAUGUCUGGAAAGCACAGAAGUUAAAUUCUAGUAUAAACCUGGUUUUAGAAAGGACUGCUUGGGCCAACGAGUCAUGUCCCUUCAAUUACAAACAAAGAUGUGGUAGCUAUUUAAUCCAAGAGAUGAUCUGCUUUACACACACGUACCACAAAAAAUACCUCUAACAGUCCUAAGAUCUAUACCACAAAAGGCCAAGCUGAGCAUGACACAGCAAGUACGUGUUACAAGCAGUGUAUGGGGUAAGACAAGAUAGAUGAAUGAGGACAAAAACACUGUGUAUUUAUUCAGUGAGUGCCAUGUUUCAUCUGGGUUUACCAGUCCAGAUUCAUGCAGUGAAGCACAAGUUGUAUUCCUGCAAUAAAGGUUGUUGAUGCAGAUCAGGGUAUGAGGCUACCCACAGCCUGGCAACGUUAUUUCCUGAAGCCAUUUUUUACCAAUUACUCGUGUGCAGUAACAUGUAGGGAUCCUUAAGCAGGGUUAGAACAUGGACUUACUUGCUUUGAACUUAGCAGUGCUUCUGGGUCUUGCAGAUGCAUUAAUGUGCACUCACAAAAAAAUAGUUGCCCAAUUCUUUGAUUCAUGUAAACAGACCUGUAUGAGAGGAUUGCCUUAAUUUGUAAAGAUUUUCUGUUGGGGGACACUGUUGACCGUUACAGCAUCCAGAAGAAUUACUGCAUAACAUUGAAUUUGGGCAUCAAUAACGUAACUAUGUAGAGACUUUUUUUAAUAAAAAUAUAAUAUCCCAGCCAUUUGCUGGGAUUGCUAAAACUUAAUUUCUCAGGCAGAAGAGCUAAAACCCAAAAAGCUGAAGUGUAUCUCUGUAUUUACAUCAAAAUGGGAGGUGAUACGAGCACACACAACUUAAAGAUCGGAUGUGAUUGUGGUGAAUGUGGUGACACCUAGCUUAGCAGAACGUGGCCUAAUAGAUGGAGGUGGUGUCAGAACAUGCUGUGACCGUCAGAGUUCUGCAGACACGUGUGAGUUAAAGGUGAGGCUAAGGCAUGUCUUGCAUAUGUUCAGUGUCUUAACAGGUAUUUUUUCCCUAGUUUUUCACUCCUGGUCAAAUAGGGAGAUCAUGAUAGUCAACCUGAGCAUUUACUAUGACAUUCAGAAUUCUUUAUCGUAUACAAAAUUCAUUAUAAACGGAAGAUAAAUGAUUCAGCUUCACUGUUACAGCUGUGCAAGGUGUUGGUCAGCACACUGCAGAGAAUCCAG
Molecule: long non-coding RNA, 5122 nt
Filed under: Gallus gallus (chicken)
Lineage: Eukaryota; Metazoa; Chordata; Aves; Galliformes; Phasianidae
Source: RNAcentral